UUGAGGAGGUUAGGAACAAAAGGUGACAUUUACGUAUCAGCUUCAUUUUUUUUUAUGUUUUUUUUCUUACUUGGAAGGAUAAAUUCUAUCAUUAUCUGCAAGACAUUGGUUCUGAAGGUGCUUAAUUUCAUAGAAAAAUCAACUUGAACUACUGCUUUUGAAACAAAAAGUUACAUUUUAAUUCAAUCUCAAUAGUGAUUUGUACAUAAUAAUCAAAAAGUGUCAUUUCCUUUGUAAAUAUUUCUGAGGCUUUUAAGGUCGGAUCAAAACGGGUACAUUAUUUCUUAAAAAAUAACGAUUUGCCCAAAAUAAAUUAUGACGACAGGUCGAAUCGAUAUGUUUAAUCGAAUAACCUUAUUAUAUGGUGGCAACAUUUUUUUUUACUUUUGUGGUGCGGCGCUCCUUGAUGGCGCUGUCUGUCCUGUCAGUUGUCAAACAAAACACUGACAGACAGAGUGACUGGUGACAUGACGAUUUGGUUGCGCGCCUUUUCGAUUUUCUUUCUGUGCAGCAGGAUUUAUUUAUCAAAUAUUUAUUAUUUUGUGAAUCGGCUUCUCAAAAUGGAAGAAGAAGCAGUAGACGUGGCCAGUAUCAACCAUGGUACACGAAAAAAGAAAAGACAGCAACAACGAAGCAAACAGCAAGUACAAAACGACAAAUAUAAAGAUAAGGACCCCUUGUGUACCAAUUUUUUUGUCCCUUGUGUGCACAAAGCUUCGUCACUUUUCAAAUGCCAAAAACUUAAAGAGCAAGAUAUCGUAAGAAACCGAAAACUGUUUUAUGAGAACAAAGGGAAAGUAAGCCAAGAUAUUUACCUUUGUCGACUGAUAGCAUCUUUUAAACCUCAAAGGAAGAAGGUUGAUAAAAACAGCAAUAAACCUAAACCACGAAAGUUUUCUACUAACUUUUAUUUAAUGAAUAAAAAUAAAAAGGCAGUCAGAGUGUGCAAAUUAUUUUUCAUGAAAGCUUUGAGUUUGGGUCGCAAAAGAAUAAACACUUUGUGCAAAACCAUAAAAAAUGGCAAUAUUCCUAAAGAAUCUAGGGGUGGAGACAGAAAGUCCAAAAAAUCUUUAGAAAAAAGGAAGAGUGUUUGCAACUUUAUAAAAGCCUUACCAGCCAGGGAAAGUCACUACAGCAGGAGCAAGUCUAGCAGAAUUUAUUUGUCAUGUGAAUUAAACAUAACAAAGUUGUGGAAAUUAUACAAUAAUUCUGUUGAAGAAGCACUACAGGUAAAAAAAUGGUUUUUUAGACACAUUUUUGUUACACAAUUUAACAUUGGUUUUUCAUCUCCAGCAAGUGAUGCUUGCACGACAUGUACAUUACUGUCCCAUAAAAUUAAAUCUGAGCAGGAUCCACAAAAGAAACAGUAUCAUAUGACUGAAAAAAGAGUACACAAGCUGAGAGCUAACGCUUUUUACCAAUUAGUAAGACAAGAAGUGGACAAUUCUUAUUCUUUUUGUUUUGACUUGCAACAAGUUAUGCCUUUACCAAAAACACCAAUUCAAGACAGUUUCUAUGCUCGACAAAUAAGUUUUUAUAAUUUGUGUAUUGUGAAUGUGGAUGGAAAGGACCCAGAUUUUUAUUGUUGGACUGAGGACAUGGCUGGUAGGGGCUCAAUGGAAGUAGGUUCUGCUUUAUUUAGUCAUCUGAACACACUCAAGCAGAAUGGGUCUUUAAAUGAUGUACACAUAAUCCGCAUGUUUUGUGAUGGGUGUGGAGGACAAAACAAAAAUUCAUUUAUUAUUGACACACUUAUAUACUGGUUAAUAAAAGAGUCUCCAGCAACUUUAAAAGAAAUUCAGAUUGUUUUUCCUGUGCGUGGUCACUCCUUUUUACCUGCCGAUCGUGUAUUUGGUCGCGUAGAAAAAGAUUUGAGAAAAAAAACAGUAAUUACAAACAGAGAAGAUUAUCAUGACCUAUUAUUACAGCAUGGAAGAGUAAAUAUUUUAGGCAAAGAUUGGAAGUAUUAUGACAUCAAAAACCUUGAUAAACAUUUUAAAAAAGUAGAAGGUAUAAGGGACAUGAAACGCAUAUGCAUAGAAAAGAAACAAAUAAAAAAAAGAACUGAGGCAAUAGUUAAAUGUUUCAGAAACUUCAGAUUUGAAAAUGCUGGAGAAUCAAAAGGAAUAAAUCCUUUAAAGAGAAAUACAAACCUGUUGAGUAUCAAACUUGUUGAGAAAGAACUGGGACAUUUCAUAAAAGGUGCAAAGAAAAAGGAUGUAGAAAGUUUAUUAACUAAACAGUUUGGAGAAAACUGGAAAAAUGAUCCUUCUUUAAAAUGGUAUUGUGAUAUCUUGUAUGAAAAUAAUAUAAGUGAAAAUGACAAUGAAAAUGAUGAAAAUGGAUGUGACUGCUUAGAACCUGAUUGUGGAGAACUUCAUGUAUAAGAAUUUAAAAUAAUAAUAAACACAUUUUUUGUAUGGAUA
Long non-coding RNA from Ostrinia nubilalis (European corn borer), 2426 nucleotides. RefSeq lists it as uncharacterized. Lineage: Eukaryota; Metazoa; Arthropoda; Insecta; Lepidoptera; Crambidae. The transcript has 2 exons. The record is from RefSeq and is a predicted model, not a curated record.